Molecule: long non-coding RNA, 1262 nt
Organism: Lathyrus oleraceus (garden pea)
Lineage: Eukaryota; Viridiplantae; Streptophyta; Magnoliopsida; Fabales; Fabaceae
Exons: 4
Source: RefSeq, a predicted model, not a curated record
GCUUCAAAAUAUAUAAUAACUCUAAGUGUUUCUCUCUUUUAAUAUUCAUAUUUUGGUUUUCCACAUGCACAUCCAAAAUGGGUUCUUCCUGUUGAAUCUUAUCUUUAGAGACUCUUAGAUGUACGUGAAUUUACCACUUGACCUUCUUUCUUGUGAUACAUCUGGGUUCGGUUAAGGCCUUAAAAGCUUUCUUCGAAAAUCAUUUUCAUGUCCCUUAGAAGGGGAAGAAAAUCGUUGUUCAGCUGGGAACCAUAAUAUGGUUCAAGAGAGAAACAUGCACAACCUGAACCUUUGAAGAUGAUGGCAGAUAGCAUUUAAGCGACUUCACCAACCCUUUUUAUGACUUCGUAGGGGCCAAAGAAGCGUUUUGCCAACUUUUGAGAAGUUAUCUUUAUAACAGUCUGUUAUUGAUAAGGUUGAAGCUUCAAUAGAACCAGAUCGCCUUUUUCGAAGGGAGUUAUCCAAGGAUUCAUCUACAACUGUCACAGAUCGUAUAGCUUUAAACGACAUCAUCUAAAUUGUGGUGUGAAAUGAUAUGUUAUACCAGAACUCAGCAAGGUGUAGAAACUUGUACCACUGGUGAGGAUGAUCACUUUCAAAUCACUUAAGUUCCAUAGAUUUUGAAAAACUACUUCCAAAAGCUGUUGAAGAAAAAAUGGAUCGCAGUCAGAGAUGAUGGAUUUGGUAACUCCUUAAAGGCGAUAAAUUUCCAUAGAGAAACGAGAUGCAAGGUCCUUUAACAUCAGUGUGGCCAAGAGAUCUGGAAUAGGGGAGGAUAAAUCCAAUAGCUAAGAGUCUUAAGAAUGAUAUUUUCUACUCAAAGCAUCAGCAACUAAAUUUGAUUUUCCAAGUUUGUAGAAUAUUUCGAAAUUAAAUCCUUGUAAUUUAGAUGCCUAUUUAUGUUGUUCCGGAGUUUGGAUUUUGUGAAGUAACAGAUUACACAGACUCUUUUGACCAGUGUAAAUGUGAAAUUGUUGUCUGAUAAGGUAUUGAAGCCAUUUUUUACUGCUUCUGUAACAACAAAUAUCUCACGCACAUAGAUAGAAGCAGCCUACAUUCAAGGCACAUCUUUUUACUGAAGAAAGCACUAGGAUGACCUCCUUGAGACAACAUUGCACCAAUAAUAACACUUGAAGCAUCGGUCUCUAUAAUGAAUUGUUUUGUAAAAUCUGGCAAAGCUAGGACCGACAUGGCGGUCAUAUUUUUUUUGUGCUUUUGUAAAGGCUAUAACCUCUGUACUCCAGAGAAAUUUAGUGGAACGU